ACCAGCUUUAUGGGUUGUAGUUUCCUUGGCAGGUGCUCCUUUCCUGACCUGCCUCGCUUAUCAAGGCAUCUACAACCCCCACCUCACCCUUAUCGCUCCCUCCAUCUCCUUAGACUGGAAGUCACUCCACAAGGGCGUCACCCCCAGCGAGGCAGAAAAAUGUCCCACAAGUUGAGCCCUCCCCACUCCCAGUGAGAACAUAAUUCCACUGUAUCUUUUUUUUUUUUUACUUAACUUUUCCUUUUGGCUUUUAAUAAGAAAAAGAUCCAAAUUUUCCCCCUUUUGAAACAUCAAUGAACACUAGCUCCUCUUAGUUUCCUUAUUUAUUUUCCUUUCAAUUCUUGUCCUUCUCUAAAGGUUAUUUUGUCCAUCCCUCAAUCUUGGGAGCAGAUCUCUCUUUCUUACAACAAAAGAAGGGGGCAGUCCCCACUCCUCAAGACCCCCAGAGGGAGAGUCCCAGCGUAUCCUCACGCUGGUCUCUCACACCUUUACAGCCAAAAGAUUCCCAAGAAGCAACAAGGUCUGGAGAGUGGUUUGGAGCUGAGAUCCCAAGUUCAUGGCCAGUUACAGUCUCGCCACUAGCCAUGGGACUUGGGGCCAGCACACCCAAGAAUUCUCACAGACGGAAUUCUUCCUUGUUCUCAUUUACCUGAUAGGUCUAUUGAGUGAAUGCAAUUCAAUAAUAUUGAUGUACCUCUUUGAAAACAAUGAGAACAGAAUUGAACAAUGAGAACACUUGGACACAGGAAGGGGAACAUCACACACCAGGACCUGUCGUGG
Molecule: long non-coding RNA, 780 nt
Filed under: Homo sapiens (human)
Lineage: Eukaryota; Metazoa; Chordata; Mammalia; Primates; Hominidae
Description: HSALNT0130076
Source: RNAcentral